This 549-nucleotide long non-coding RNA is filed under the name Mytilus galloprovincialis (Mediterranean mussel). The record is from RNAcentral. Lineage: Eukaryota; Metazoa; Mollusca; Bivalvia; Mytilida; Mytilidae.
GUUGUGAUUGAAUCCGCAAAAAAAGAUACACUUGCAACCAAGGAGUUUGUAUCACCCUCCAGAGAUAUAUUAUGUAAUUUUCUAAUUGAUAUUGAAUGAGUAUGCAUACUUAUUGAUGUCGUUCAAUGUAUUGCAAUAUAGAUAAUUAAUAAUCAAACUUGAAAUAUUACGAAUGAAUACAAAAUUUACUUCGCUGUUUUCGAUUGUUUUGUCUGCUUUGAGAUUUAGUAUUAAUUUUUCAUUAAUCAACUGUAUUUAUGAUUUAUAAAAUGGGAGUUAAGAUAUGUUCCAUGUAUUAUACUAUUUAUUACUUCUACGACAAACGGUUGUUUGUCAGAAAAGCAAGGGCGUUGGGACAUCAGAGUAUCAAAAAGUGGAUAUUUUCCGUCCGAAAUGAAUGUACUGCUUCCUUGAGACGACUGACAGCCUUGGAUAAAUCUAAAUAGGGAUUCAAACUGUCUAUUUUCAAUUUAUUUCAUCGUUUAUUUGUGUCUCCCACCUGCUACAUUUUGUUCAGUUUUCACAGAGACCUUUCAGUCUAUUAUAAUU